RNAcentral lists this non-coding RNA (21 nucleotides) under Caenorhabditis elegans. Lineage: Eukaryota; Metazoa; Nematoda; Chromadorea; Rhabditida; Rhabditidae. The record is from RNAcentral.
UCUGAGACAUCUUCUAUUUUC